Molecule: ribosomal RNA, 450 nt
Filed under: uncultured Glomeromycotina
Lineage: Eukaryota; Fungi; Glomeromycota
Description: SSU rRNA
Rfam family: Eukaryotic small subunit ribosomal RNA
Source: RNAcentral
AGCAGCCGCGGUAAUUCCAGCUCCAAUAGCGUAUAUUAAAGUUGUUGCAGUUAAAAAGCUCGUAGUUGAAUUUCGGGAUCAAGGAAUCGGUCAUGCCUCGGUAUGUACUGGUUUUAUUGGUUCUCACCUUCUAAAGAACCAUAAUGUCAUUCAUUUGAUGUUAUGGGGAAUUAGGACUGUUACCUUGAAAAAAUUAGAGUGUUUAAAGCAGGCUUACGCUUGAAUACAUUAGCAUGGAAUAAUGAAAUAGGACAUCAGAUUCUAUUUUGUUGGUUUCUAGGAUCGAUGUAAUGAUUAAUAGGGAUAGUUGGGGGCAUUAGUAUUCAAUUGUCAGAGGUGAAAUUCUUGGAUUUAUUGAAGACUAACUACUGCGAAAGCAUUUGCCAAGGAUGUUUUCAUUAAUCAAGAACGAAAGUUAGGGGAUCGAAGACGAUCAGAUACCGUCGUAGU